GACGAACGCUGGCGGCGUGCUUAACACAUGCAAGUCGAACGGAAAGGCCCUGCUUUUGUGGGGUGCUCGAGUGGCGAACGAGUGAGUAACACGUGAGUAACCUGCCCUUGACUUUGGGAUAACUUCAGGAAACUGGGGCUAAUACCGGAUAGGAGAUCCUGCUGCAUGGUGGGGGUUGGAAAGUUUCGGCGGAUGGGGAUGGAUUCGCGGCUUAUCAGCUUGUUGGUGGGGUAGUGGCUUACCAAGGCUUUGAAGGGUAGCCGGCCUGAGAGGGUGACCGGCCACAUUGGGACUGAGAUACGGCCCAGACUCCUACGGGAGGCAGCAGUGGGGAAUAUUGCACAAUGGGCGGAAGCCUGAUGCAGCAACGCCGCGUGCGGGAUGACGGCCUUUGGGGUGUAAACCGCUUUCGCCUGUGACGAAGCGUGAGUGACGGUAAUGGGUAAAGAAGCACCGGCUAACUACGUG
RNAcentral lists this ribosomal RNA (468 nucleotides) under uncultured bacterium. Its description in RNAcentral is "partial 16S ribosomal RNA". It matches the Rfam family "Bacterial small subunit ribosomal RNA", at positions 28 to 507 of the family's 1533-position model. The record is from RNAcentral.